AACGAACGCUGGCGGCGCGCCUAAUACAUGCAAGUCGAGCGAGAAGACGUAGCAAUACGUUUGUAAAGCGGCGAACGGGUGAGGAAUACAUGGGUAACCUACCCUCGAGUGGGGAAUAACUAGCCGAAGGUUAGCUAAUACCGCGUACGCUCCUUGGACUUCGGUUCAGGGAGGAAAGCGAUACCGUGGGUAUCGCGCUCUUGGAUGGGCUCAUGUCCUAUCAGCUUGUUGGUGAGGAACGGCUCACCAAGGCUUCGACGGGUAGCUGGUCUGAGAGGACGAUCAGCCACACUGGCACUGCGACACGGGCCAGACUCCUACGGGAGGCAGCAGUAAGGAAUAUUGCGCAAUGGGCGAAAGCCUGACGCAGCGACGCCGCGUGAGGGAUGACGGCC
This 395-nucleotide ribosomal RNA is filed under the name uncultured bacterium. RNAcentral describes it as "bacterial SSU rRNA". It matches the Rfam family "Bacterial small subunit ribosomal RNA", at positions 29 to 416 of the family's 1533-position model. The record is from RNAcentral.